Molecule: unclassified non-coding RNA, 331 nt
Filed under: Hevea brasiliensis (rubber tree)
Lineage: Eukaryota; Viridiplantae; Streptophyta; Magnoliopsida; Malpighiales; Euphorbiaceae
Source: RNAcentral
GGCGAAUCUUCUUCAAAACAUACCUAACAGGAGGAAAAAAUGCCAAGAAAAAGAAAUCCCAAAAAUCAAUGAGCUAACGGACAAAGAAUUGUGCCGACAGGACCACUACCUACCACUGUGAAUCCCAAAACCACAAUUUUGAUUCAAAUACUUUGUGAUUGUAAUUCCAAUCAAUUACUAUAACCAACCACAAGAAUGCUUACAAUUUCCUUCUUGAAAAUUUUAUUUCAUACAUAUCCACUUCAAUAAUAAAAUAGCAAAAUCGGUUCACAUCCUUCAAUUUGUCAAAACCCAGAAAUUGAAUAUUUCUGGAGAUUGAUACACACCACAU